Long non-coding RNA from Bos indicus x Bos taurus (hybrid cattle), 1932 nucleotides. Lineage: Eukaryota; Metazoa; Chordata; Mammalia; Artiodactyla; Bovidae. The record is from Ensembl.
UCAUGCUUGAGGAAGGCAGGCACUGUGUUAUCCUGAAGCAGAUUCCUUGAGAACAGUAACUAAUAUGAAGUGAUAGUGAUUGUGAGUUUGCCAGUUAAUGGCUAACUGGUAUUCUUAUGCGUAGUCUUGUCGGGCAGGUGUGGCAUUUCUAAUAGGAGUGUAGGGAACAAAUGGGGAUGGAUGUAUUCGGAUACAUUCACUGUGAGACCUUAGGGACUUGUCAGAUAUCAGAGCUAUGGCAAAUAUUUAGUCCAUAGAGAUUGUUGGGGUGCUCAUCAUAGAGACAAGCAGCUGAAAGAAUGGUUGUUUGUGGUUAAUAGGGGAAGCCGCUGGCCCCUCUCGUGUCUACCAGGUGUGCUGAACAGACACCCGGCUGGCACAUCUGUGUGUCCACGCAUCUCUGCAGACUUCAUGUGCCGGAAGCUUCCUAAGCACCUUUGGGGAGCAGAUCAGUUCUUCCUUCAUAGGCUUCAGGCCUGAGUCCCGCCAUCCAUGUUCCCUCAAAGUGGAAAAGCCACUGGAAGGCAGUAUGACAGAAGCCUGAUUAGGAGUCAGAGCUGUCCCACCAGCUGAAAUCCCGAACCUGCCAAGAAACCAUGCCCCUCCAACAGCACGGAGCUGUCUCCCCACUCCAGGACUCCCGCCUGUCCUUCCCUCAGUCCCCUAGGACAGCUCUUCAGAGACGCAAUGGCCUCGGGGCAUUUCCUGAUCUUCUCAGGGAAGAAGCCCAUGACCAGGAGGAUGAACCAACCAGCCAAUCAGAGGCCAGGCUGGACCUGAACCAGGACUGCUCGCAUCCGUUACAUUCUCCCCUGCUCUCUCCGGCUGGACGCAAGAUCGGAGGCUUGGACCCCUCUGCUGACCUCAGCUGGCCCUGUGUGGUGUGGACUGACUCCUUCAUGGCUCAGCUGAGCCCAGGGGACAUCCCAUAAAGCUCUGCAUGCACACACUCUUCUCUCCUUUGUACUGUUAGUUUGGACAUCAGUUUUUUUUUUUUAAUACAUUUAUUUUUAAUUGAAGGAUAAUUGCUUUACAAUGUUGCUUUCAUUUCUGUAAUACGUCAACAUGAAUUAGCCAUAGGUGUACAUAUUUCCCCUCCCUUUUGAACCACCUCCUACCCUUUCCCACUCCUCUAGGUGGUUACAGAGCCCCAGCUUGCGUUCCCUGGGUCAUGCGGCAAAUUUCCAUUGUUUAUCUGUUUUACAUACGGUGGUACACAUGCAUCCAUGCUUCUCCCUCCAAUCAUCUCGCCCUCUCCUUCCUCUUCUCCAACCUGUGUCCCUAAGUCUGUUCUCUACGACAUCAGUUUCUUUUUUCUUUUUUUGAUUCAAGUUCCUCAAGAACUGUUCCUGGGAAAUCUGCCCAUCUCUUAGGAGGCUCCCUCCUGGGGUCCAUUCUUUUCGUCACCUCCCCAUGGUGACAGGCUUGAAGCCAGGCAUGGGGCUGCUUUUGCCAGACCUUGGCCUUGGUCUCCCUUGUGGGUGGGUUUGUGCCACCUCAGGGACUGUGACAUAAGAUACCCUUGGAGUCACAUGUCCUUUUCCAGGAGCUGGGGUGGACAGGCUUCCUGCCCCAGACCAGUUCUGGGUGAAGGGAAAUCACAUGAUGGGGGCUCAGGUCUGAGGGGUCCCGUGGAGUGGAGCCGUGCAUGGCUGGGAGCCCAUCCCGGCUCCGAGGGAAGCAACCAUGUCAGUCUGAACCCAGCAGGUGUUACUGGUCUCUGCCCAUGCAGUGGGCAGGUGGUAUUCUAGGACCUGCUGGACACCAGCCAUGAGUCAGAGGGCCACAUGUAUGGCCUGAAGGGCGUCACAGGGCCAGGGUCAGGGGAGAGGCCUCCCAGGACCAGGUGAAGGCAUGUGGGGGCACCUCAGGGAGGGGAGCAGCAUGCACCUCAAGCGUGCAGGGGAGAAUUUCGUGGGUUGCGUGGAGUAG